UCCGUAGGAGGUUUUGCAAGUUUGACGUGAAAUCCCGGAGCUCAACUCCGGAACUGCGUUGAAAACUGCAGAACUCGAGUACUGGAGAGGUAAGCGGAAUACCAGGUGUAGCGGUGGAAUGCGUAGAUAUCUGGUAGAACACCAAAAGCGAAGGCAGCUUACUGGACUGAGACUGACUCUCAAGGACGAAAGCGUGGGGAGCAAACAGGAUUAGAUACCCUUGUA
RNAcentral lists this ribosomal RNA (225 nucleotides) under uncultured Victivallis sp. RNAcentral's name for it is "partial 16S ribosomal RNA". It matches the Rfam family "Bacterial small subunit ribosomal RNA", at positions 568 to 792 of the family's 1533-position model. The record is from RNAcentral. Lineage: Bacteria; Pseudomonadati; Lentisphaerota; Lentisphaeria; Victivallales; Victivallaceae.